Molecule: non-coding RNA, 1322 nt
Organism: Ictidomys tridecemlineatus (thirteen-lined ground squirrel)
Lineage: Eukaryota; Metazoa; Chordata; Mammalia; Rodentia; Sciuridae
Source: RefSeq, a predicted model, not a curated record
CAUGUCCUAGUCAAGUAGCUCAUUAAUCUGGAGCGGAAGCUGCAUAGCCCUCACUCCAAGGUCUCUAUUAGCUGGGACUGGGCCAUCUUCCUGUGACAACACGUGAGUGUGUUAGAGUGAGCAGAGUUGUGUGGGUGUGGAGGAGAUAGGGACAGAGAGAUGAAGAAAGAGAAUAAACAGGCUGCAAAUUGAGUCUCAGCUCUUUCAUCCACCAGAAAGAAAACCUUCAUGUUUCCUAACAGGGAUGACAGACAAGACAAUUUAAAUGAAUCUAAUUUAGAAAAAUCUACAUUUUAGUGGUGGUGAACUUUGUGAAGCAGUUGUAAAGGCUGAAGUGAGAGCAGAUGGCAGCCAUCUUGACCAAUGCAAUCCAUCCCAACCAGCCCCCUGGAGAAAGCAAGAUUAUGUGUAUCCUGCAAAACCCAACUUACGUUCUGUUGGAUAUGAAAAUUCUUCUGACCACUGACUACUGAAGCCAACACUAAUAUUUCUUUCUUCUUAAAUCAUAAUAUUGUAUCAUAUGAAUAAAAUAAUUUUGUCUUGUUUCAGUCCCUAAUAAUGAAAAAAUGACAUUGUACUUUUGCUUAAAAUUUAAAGUAAUAAAACACUAAAACAUGUAGACUUACAAUAUAAGAACCAAUAGGUGUUGAAUGAUAAAGAGUCUGGUAAUUUUUUUUUCUGUUUCUUGAGAUGAAAAUGUGUUAGAAAUUCACCAAGUGAUAGGAAUAUUUUUUUAUUCAAGGUGGGGCUCUGGGGUCAUACAUGCAUUUAUGCUAACAAGGUGAUUUAUGGUGGGCCUCUAUAUAGUUACAGUAUCAAGCUGCUCGUAUACAAAAGACCUUCCAUGAUUAGAUAGUGGGGGCUUGAAGCCAUGAGGUAUCAGCCCACCUUCUCAAUGUCCAAGGAGGGAAGGGAAGUGCUGAAAAUUGAGCUCAAGCACAUGAUCAAAUGUUAUUAUAAAAUCAUUAUUACAGAUAAAGCACUUUAUUUAGUUGUUUGAAUCAUUCUAAUGAGUAAUUCCACUGGAGGUGAUAGUGGAAAUUAACAAAUUUGUAAUCAAUUGGUCAGAAGUGAGGUUACUCUGGAAACCCUGGAACUUGUAGGUAGUGUCUGACUGAAGAAAGAUCAGACUGAAUGAGCACUAUGUUGUUACCUUGUGAAGUCUGUGCCAACACUGGGCAUUUCAUGUCAGAAUCACAUUGCUGUAAUUCAGUAGGGUCUCAAAUUUGGAAAAAUCAUAAUAAGUUUUUUUUCCAUGUACAGAUGAAAUAAUUGAAGAUAAGAAAUUAAGGUAAUUUGUCAAUAUGCAGCAAAUAUAGAUG